Long non-coding RNA from Drosophila teissieri, 2462 nucleotides. RefSeq lists it as uncharacterized. The transcript is spliced from 3 exons. The record is from RefSeq and is a predicted model, not a curated record. Lineage: Eukaryota; Metazoa; Arthropoda; Insecta; Diptera; Drosophilidae.
GAAACAAAGCAGUAGGCCAUUCGUGAUGGCAAAGUUUCCUGCUAUCUGUUAAUUACAUAACAUUCAAAGUUAUAAUCUGCGUCCAUCGGCCAAGUUGCCCCAAAAAUAAACCGACAGCCAGAUGGUCAAGUGGAAUUUUUUUUAAGCGAGUUUCAUUCUCCUCCCCAUUUUCUUUUUUCUUUCUGCCGAGAUUUCGUUUCGUACUAAUGGAUGCCACAAAUUUUAGUAGAGAAGUGGUCGAGGAAGGCGAUGGCGAUGGCGAUGUGGAUGGCGACAUAGACAGACUACAAUUUGACUUACACAACUGCCAAUUUGCAGCACAAAACUAUAGGGAAACACCUCCGCAGUGCCCCCGAUCAGCUCCCUUCAUCCACCCCUCGACUUGUCGCACGUUUAUGGCUCCGACGAACAUUUUUGAGUAACAACUUUGCUGCGUGACACGAAUGUCGAGCGGUGAGGCACUUAUAAAAUGUCUUGGCAUGUGAUCAGCGGCUGCCUGCUGAUGGCGAAGGCGAUGGAGAUGGAGAUGGCGGUGGCUAUGAUGAUGAUGUUGAUGAUGAUGGCCACGAUGAUGAUGAUGGCAAGGUGACAGGAACGUGGUUGGUUGGCUCCGAAAAGGGUUUCCGCAGGUCGCGUUAUAUCGCUGAUAAAUUGCCCCGAAAUGACCCCGAGUAAUAGAAACUGCGUGUGAGAAUAAUAAACCAAAUCGAUUUAAGGCUAUGAAUUACUAUGAAAGUUUAAUGUGUAAGUAUUGCGUUUAACCGAUGAAGAAGGCAAAACGUUUAUGAUAUAAUAGUAUAAUAAUAUUUUGAACGGUUAUCCAAAGACUUAAAACGUAUUGUUCCACAUAUAUUUCGUAUUCCACAUGUUUUACGUGUAAUAAAUAGUUACAAAACUGCUACCCCUUCAAGCAAUGCUGAAUUUGCUACCGCUUUUUUAAAUUUUGCGAGUGCUUUCUGGCCAACACCAAAGACGAUUCCAUUUAUCAGGUGGGUGCGAAAAACCCAUCAGGAAGGACUUAACUCCUCAGCCAAGGCGAUGUUGACAAAUUCUUUAUCGUUUGGCAUACACUUUCCGCUGAUAUUUAUACAGAGCAUUGUUGCUGUUGUUGUUUUUGCCGUUUGUUAACCCAUCAUCAACAAUCGUGACAAAAGGCUCAAAUCUGUCACAUUCAAAACACGUCCUUGCUCCGCACCUGUGUGUGUGCGUGAGUGUUUGUUUGUGUCGAACGCAAUCGGAAUUCACAAAUUUCGAAUUUGAAAUACCAUUUUUUAUUUGUGUGUCACCUUUUUAUGGAUUUUUUUAUUUACACCGCAAACAAAUUGACUUUGGUGAAAUGAAUUACUUUGCAUUGGAGCCUAAAUAAUUGGUUGGAUAUUCUACGAUGUCAAAGCUAUAAAUUGAUCAAUCAAAAUGUGCAUAUGCGAGUUACCCUGUGGCCUUCAAUGAUUGCACAACAUUAUGAGGGGGAAACCACAGAUAAACAAUCCUUGUAACCUUCGGCACUGGUGUAAGCUGUAAGGGUUCUAUAAUUAAGCCACCUACUGACCUAGUUUCGCCCACAAGUCGUUAUGCUAAUGCCUUAAACAAGUCCUGAAUCCUGGCACGAAUCUCGGCCAUCGAUUGGCCAUCGUUCUCAUUAAGGUAGUCGGUAAAUCCUGUAACUGGACCUAUUGAAAUCUUUUGGGUAUUAUUUUUAAUAAGUCCCGGCAAUCCAGGCCACUGUAGCUUGAUCUUUAUGCCAAAAGUGCUUACUUGCGAUACACUCUAAGCCACUUAACGUGAGUCAGCAAAGCGAAUCUCAUUAACAGGCUUUAAUUUUGAAAACACACUUAAGUGCGAGCCGUAUCCCCCGCUUUUCCGCUUACCCCCUUUUGGCCCAAUCUCCAUCACCAUCUUCAAUCUCCAGCUUCAGUCAAGUCGACAACUCGACAACGGCAACCCUCAUCAGGAAUAUGUAAGGACAUCGAGGACGAGACCAGGGAGGAGAAGGAGGGAACCGGGGCAAGGCGAGCUCAUCAUCAGCCGACGUAGUCCGCCGUCAUUUAGUAGUCUACUUAACUCGUCUAAGGAUGCUCGUGGCAGCAACAGCAGGAGCAGCAGGAGCAGCAAGGAGCAAAAGCAAAGGCAGCAGCAGAAGCAGAAGCAACAGCUUGAGCAGCCGUUUGAGUUUCCAAUUGGAGGUGGAACAAGUAUGCGCCAUGGUGAUGCCAUCCGCUUGGACCUUGGCAUACCCCACUGUCCACCGCCCACCGCACACCGCCCUAUUGGUUAAUGAGCUCACACAGGUACUUUCCGGGGGAUGGGGGCGGGGGAGGAGGAACUACCAACUCCGCUUGGCUAAAAACAUCCCGCACACUAUCUCCGGAAAAGUCCGCAAUCUGCUGGUAGUGACAGCGCACAAAGGGGCAAGUCUUUCGCUUUCGCCCAUAACAGCAAUUAAUUGGCCCAAGUGGCUGACA